GGGCCUGUAGCUCAGCAAGGCAGAGCAUCGGGCUUUUAACCCGGUGGUCAGGGGUUCAACUCCCCUCAGGCCCG
RNAcentral lists this transfer RNA (74 nucleotides) under Candidatus Bathyarchaeota archaeon. RNAcentral's name for it is "tRNA-Lys". It matches the Rfam family "tRNA". From Rfam's summary of the family: Transfer RNA (tRNA) molecules are approximately 80 nucleotides in length. The record is from RNAcentral. RNAcentral also lists the same sequence under 2 other names. Lineage: Archaea; Thermoproteati; Candidatus Bathyarchaeota.